This 253-nucleotide ribosomal RNA is filed under the name uncultured bacterium. RNAcentral describes it as "partial 16S ribosomal RNA". It matches the Rfam family "Bacterial small subunit ribosomal RNA", at positions 524 to 776 of the family's 1533-position model. The record is from RNAcentral.
UACAGAGGGUGCAAGCGUUAAUCGGAAUUACUGGGCGUAAAGCGUGCGUAGACGGUUAUGUAAGUCAGGUGUGAAAGCCCCGGGCUCAACCUGGGAAUGCCAUUUGAGACUGCAUAGCUAGGGUACGGAAGAGGAAAGCGGAAUUUCAGGUGUAGCGGUGAAAUGCGUAGAUAUCUGAAGGAACACCAGUGGCGAAAGCGGCUUCCUGGUCCAGUACCGACGUUCAGGCACGAAAGCGUGGGGAGCAAACAGG